UACGUAGGGUGCAAGCGUUGUUCGGAAUCACUGGGUGUAAAGGGAGCGUAGGCGGAUUUAUAAGUUGGAAGUCUAAUACACAGGCUUAACCUGUGGACGGCUUUCAAGACUGUAUAUCUUGAGUAUGGGAGAGGGUGAUGGAAUUCCAGGUGUAGCGGUGGAAUGCGUAGAUAUCUGGAAGAACACCAGCUGCGAAGGCGGUCGCCUGGCCCAAUACUGACGCUGAGGCUCGAAAGCUAGGGGAG
Molecule: ribosomal RNA, 245 nt
Filed under: uncultured bacterium
Lineage: Bacteria
Description: partial 16S ribosomal RNA
Rfam family: Bacterial small subunit ribosomal RNA
Source: RNAcentral